RNAcentral lists this non-coding RNA (30 nucleotides) under Rattus norvegicus (Norway rat). Lineage: Eukaryota; Metazoa; Chordata; Mammalia; Rodentia; Muridae. The record is from RNAcentral.
UGGACAAACUUGCUGAGCCUGGGUUAUGCA